RNAcentral lists this ribosomal RNA (652 nucleotides) under uncultured Vibrionaceae bacterium. Its description in RNAcentral is "bacterial SSU rRNA". It matches the Rfam family "Bacterial small subunit ribosomal RNA", at positions 28 to 671 of the family's 1533-position model. The record is from RNAcentral. Lineage: Bacteria; Pseudomonadati; Pseudomonadota; Gammaproteobacteria; Vibrionales; Vibrionaceae.
AUUGAACGCUGGCGGCAGGCCUAACACAUGCAAGUCGAGCGGAAACGAGAAUAGCUUGCUAUUCGGCGUCGAGCGGCGGACGGGUGAGUAAUGCCUGGGAAAUUGCCCUGAUGUGGGGGAUAACCAUUGGAAACGAUGGCUAAUACCGCAUAAUAGCUUCGGCUUAAAGAGGGGGACCUUCGGGCCUCUCGCUCCAGGAUAUGCCCAGGUGGGAUUAGCUAGUUGGUGAGGUAAAGGCUCACCAAGGCGACGAUCCCUAGCUGGUCUGAGAGGAUGAUCAGCCACACUGGAACUGAGACACGGUCCAGACUCCUACGGGAGGCAGCAGUGGGGAAUAUUGCACAAUGGGCGCAAGCCUGAUGCAGCCAUGCCGCGUGUAUGAAGAAGGCCUUCGGGUUGUAAAGUACUUUCAGCAGUGAGGAAGGGUGUGUAGUUAAUAGCUGCAUACUUUGACGUUAGCUGCAGAAGAAGCACCGGCUAACUCCGUGCCAGCAGCCGCGGUAAUACGGAGGGUGCGAGCGUUAAUCGGAAUUGCUGGGCGUAAAGCGCAUGCAGGUGGUUUGUUAAGUCAGAUGUGAAAGCCCGGGGCUCAACCUCGGAACCGCAUUUGAAACUGGCAGGCUAGAGUACUGUAGAGGGGGGUAGAAUUUCA